Prunus persica (peach) is the source of this 2404-nucleotide RNA transcript. It is a transcript of the gene named probable mediator of RNA polymerase II transcription subunit 26c, with no coding region annotated. Lineage: Eukaryota; Viridiplantae; Streptophyta; Magnoliopsida; Rosales; Rosaceae. The transcript has 11 exons. The record is from RefSeq and is a predicted model, not a curated record.
CCAAACCAAUGUGCUUGCUUUGUGUGUGUGCUUCGUAAAGACUUAAAAACCAAAAUAUAUAACUUAAAAAAAAUAAACCCAGCCCAACCCAAUCCAACUUUGUUUUGGAAUUUGGAAUAUACCCUUUACUUUUUCCAGUUGUCCAAAGAAAAUUCAACGCAUGUCUAAUUUAAUUGGGCAGUGAAAGAAGGAAUCAACGAAUUCCCCCACAAUCCCAGAAAACUUUUUCUCGGAAAAUUUUGAUACUUUUCCCGGAAGGUUAGAUUGGUUUUGCCAUGUUUGGUUCUGUUUUGUUUUAUUUUUAUUCUUAAGACUUAUUGACGACCUUUGGAUUGAAUUAGUUGAUCCAAAGGCCAAAAGUGGAUUCGCAAGCAAUUCGCAUCGUACCGUAGAAAAUUCGUGUGAUUUAAUUGUUUUGUAAAAUAAAAAUACGCCACAAAAAAGAAGUAAAGACAACCCCCAGACCAGAGCUCCAGAGCAACAUCUUCCUCCAGCCUCCUCCGUGCAUCCUCUUCGCUCGUUCUCUCAGCAGUUUGUGAACGAGGUAAAGUGUAAGAACUUUGGAUUGAACAUUGCUCGGCAGGAUUUGAAAGAGGGAAGAAUAUGGAGUUUUUCAGCCAGUGUUUAGGGUUCUUAUAGAAUAUACCCAUCACUUCUCCGAUUGUCCAACAAAUUCAACGGAUAUCUAAUUAGUUGGGCAGUGAAGAAAAGAAUCAAGGAAUUCCCCGCAACCCCAGAAAUCCAAUUCAGUUUUCUCUGAUAUUUGCUUUGAAAACUUGAUAUUUUUCUGAGUCUUUCUGCCUGGGAAUUCCUUUUUGGAGCUUGGACUGGUGAAUCUGCAACUCUGAGACAGAUCUGUGCCUUUCUAUACUUUGUUGAGGAGGCUUGGGCUUUUAUAACUGCAUUCAUGAUCCGGUGAUGCAAUCUCAGAAUCUGAGAACAAUCCAUCAUCGGAACGACAGCGUUUGUAUUUGACUGCAAGGUGGACGCCAUGGACCAUGACGACUUGCGGACCAUCUUAGAAACCUCGGGAGUGGAUGUGUGGACGUUCAUUGACACCGCCAUUGUGGUAGCUUCGGUUGAUUAUGGCACCGAGCUCAAGCACCGGAGGGAUGGCAUUGUCGAGCGCCUCUACGCCACAACUUGCAUGCCACCUCGGUGCCCGAACUGUGAUACUGAUGGGCCCAAUGGGAACCAACCCAAAGGAGUUUCACCGUACACGCCGCAGUUCGUUGAUAGAGAUGACGAUGAGGAGGAGGACAAGGAGGGGUUGGAUCCAUACGGAGGGUUGUUCGAUGAUGAGCAGAAGAACAUUCUAGAAAUCAAGAAGCAGCUUGAGGAUCCACAUCAGUCUGAGGAUUCUUUGGUUGAGUUGCUUCAAAGUCUAGCAGAUAUGGAAAUAUCAUUCCAAGAACUCAAGGAGGCCGAUAUUGGAAGGCAUGUGAGUCAAUUGCGGAAGCAGCAUCCAAGUGAUGUUGUUAGGAGAUUGGCAAAGCAAGUUGUCAGGAAAUGGAAAGGUAUUGUGGAUGAAUGGGUGAAGUUACAUGGAGAACUGCCGUCUUCUUCGGCCAUGGUUGAUGAAGAUUCGCCCCAGCAGAAAAUUCCCCAAAAUGGUCUUCACCAGGUUCCUGAUUUUGCGUACUCUCCAAAUCCUCACAAUGGGAGUUCUGGAUCAGAUAAGAACAAUUCAGAACCAGAACGCAAGCCAAAGGCAGUUCCUAGGAGAGAAGCUCCACCAAAACCAGCACAAUCAACCCCUAUGUCUGCUUCUGCUGCUCAAAAUAGACAGAGAGAACAGAAGGAAAGCAAUUUUGACAAUGAUAGAUUGGCUUCUGCAAGAAAACGACUUCAGGCGAAUUACAAAGAAGCUGAAAAUGCCAAAAAGCAGAGAACAAUUCAAGUAAUGGACAUCCAUGACAUACCAAAACCAAAGAAUUCUUUCAUUGCAAAGAACAAAGGUGGAGGAGGAAGUGGUUCUCAUCAAGGCAGGCAUUGGUGAUUGCCCAAAAAUGGGCAGGGCCUCACAGAAUCACAGAACCACAUGUAUAAUACAAAAGGCUUAUGAGAUUAUGGGGUGUCACCUUUAUAAUACAAUUUUUUUCUUUUAUUAAGCAAAACAGACAACGGUGCCAAUCAGUGCUCGUUUUGUAAGAGCGUUUCGAGGGUCAAAAGGUUUGAGAGAUGUGCCAUGGGGCCAUUGAGGGAUAGGGGGUAGGGGGUUGGGAGUUGGCUGGCAAGCUUUGUAUGGAGUUGGUGGAAAGGAGGAUGGUGCAGCUUUCUUGGACUUGCCCUAGUGAUAAUUAUUAUAGUUUAUUUUAUUGUUGGUGGAGCUUUGAAAGAAGUGAAGUCAAAGAUAAGCUUCUUGUUCCUUUAAGAACUCAUCAAUCAAACUUGUCUUUUUAUA